GACAGAGGGUGCGAGCGUUAAUCGGAUUUACUGGGCGUAAAGCGUGCGUAGGCGGCUUUUUAAGUCGGAUGUGAAAUCCCUGAGCUUAACUUAGGAAUUGCAUUCGAUACUGGGAAGCUAGAGUAUGGGAGAGGAUGGUAGAAUUCCAGGUGUAGCGGUGAAAUGCGUAGAGAUCUGGAGGAAUACCGAUGGCGAAGGCAGCCAUCUGGCCUAAUACUGACGCUGAGGUACGAAAGCAUGGGGAGCAAACAGG
RNAcentral lists this ribosomal RNA (253 nucleotides) under uncultured microorganism. RNAcentral's name for it is "partial 16S ribosomal RNA". It matches the Rfam family "Bacterial small subunit ribosomal RNA", at positions 524 to 776 of the family's 1533-position model. The record is from RNAcentral.